RNAcentral lists this non-coding RNA (31 nucleotides) under Homo sapiens (human). Lineage: Eukaryota; Metazoa; Chordata; Mammalia; Primates; Hominidae. The record is from RNAcentral.
UGCGUGAAUGUUCUUCCCGGCUCUGCUGCCC